Molecule: long non-coding RNA, 401 nt
Filed under: Triticum aestivum (bread wheat)
Lineage: Eukaryota; Viridiplantae; Streptophyta; Magnoliopsida; Poales; Poaceae
Description: long non-coding RNA (TAES_LNC019636)
Source: RNAcentral
UCGCCAACCGAAGGGCUCUCACACCGGUUUAUAAGCCCGUCCCUCUCUGCCUUGUUGAGCUCCUCUCAAAGUGAAAAUAGAUGCCCUUAUACAGGGAAUUUGACCUAAAUUCAGAGUAAAUUUCUUUGAAUUUCAUAGAAAUUUAUUAUGAAUUUAGGUUGAAUUUUCUCUAUAGGCGCAUCUAUGUUCAUUUUUUAUAGUAAAUAAAAUAAAUAAACCUUAAUAAAAUAAAUAAAAAUAAAUAAACCUUAAUAAAAUAAAUAAAAAUAAAUAAACCUUAAUAAAAUAAAAUAAACUAUAGUAAAUAAAAUAAAUAAAACUUAAUAAAAUAAAUAAAAAUAGCAGCAGUAAAAUAAAUAAAAAUAGCAGCAGUAAAAUAAAUAAAAAUAAAAUAAAUAAAG